AGACAGACUCCGGGGCCCUCAACUGGUCUCCGACCUUCCCCUGCAACCUGCGACACCUGCCAUUUUCCCAUCUUAGGCUCCAGAAGCAGAAUCAAGUGGGAUGUCUUGGAAGAAAAACAAACAAAAGGCCCACUAGGUGGAGUGAAAUGGAUCAGGAGCAAUUAUGUUCAAUUUCACCUUUAAGUUUUCUCAAAAGGAGGAGCAUUAAGAAUCAGCCACCUUAGUACAUACUUAAAGGAGAAGAUAGUCAUUGGACAAAAGUCCACAGGUCGAGAGGAACCAUACUUGAAGAAACAUACCUGAAGGGUUUCAUCCAUAUGUGGGCCUGAUUUGGAUGAUAAAAUCCUGCAUCUUGAGCCUGAUCUUGAUGCUGCCUGUGUUCUGAUGCCAUCAGGAGUUGAGAGUCUAGGGGUUUUAGAAAGGGUGAAUGUAUUUUCCCAUAGGCAAGGAACAUAAUCAAUGGCCAAAAUGUGCACUGUGACAGAUUAAAGGUUGCUACAAAUUCUCUGAUACCCUUCCAUUAAGAGGUAGGGCAGAUAUUCCCUCCCCUCAAAUCUGGGUGGGCUCCAUGACUUGCUUUGAUCAACAGAAAACGGCAGCAGUGAUGCUGGGCCAGUUGUUGGAUCCAGGCCUUAAGAACCAACAACUUCCACUUAAGUUCUCUUGGAACACUGAGUCCCUGACUACCCUAAUAUCAUGUUGGAAAGGCUACAUGUAGGCACUCUAGUUGCCAGUCCCAGCCAAGACCAGCUUUUCAGCCAUCCCCAUCACUAAAUUUGUAAAUGAAGCCAUCUGGAAUCUCCAGACCAGCUCAUUUGGCAGCUGGGUAUCAUCAAGUUAUCUCUGCUGACUCCACAUGGAACAAAGGAAUCACCCAGCUGAGCCCUAUUCAAACUAUUGACCAAAAAAAUAGUGAGACAUAAUAAAAUGAUGUUUUAAGC
Molecule: long non-coding RNA, 941 nt
Filed under: Homo sapiens (human)
Lineage: Eukaryota; Metazoa; Chordata; Mammalia; Primates; Hominidae
Description: HSALNT0295486
Source: RNAcentral